Molecule: long non-coding RNA, 356 nt
Organism: Pipra filicauda (Wire-tailed manakin)
Lineage: Eukaryota; Metazoa; Chordata; Aves; Passeriformes; Pipridae
Exons: 3
Source: RefSeq, a predicted model, not a curated record
GAGACAAAUGUCCUUGUUCUGGCUCCUGAAGAUCAGCAGAACACAGCACAGCGCACGCACAGGAAUGAGGCCAAGAAGCAGGGCUGGAUUGUAGGUGGGAAUCAAGAAUCUUGAAGCCUUCUGACCCAUUUCCAACAAGGUCUAGAAGAACAGACUGCGCAUGACUUGAAUGAACCUGAGUCAGUCAGUCAACAAACACUUGCUACAAAACCCCUCACUGAUCCUCGCAUCAGCCCCUGCAACACUGUGCUCUCAUCCUCACAACCCCAGAGACUCUGGCUACCCUGUGUUAACAUCUGCCUGGCUGCUCCGAUUUGCUGGAUGGAAGCUGGGAAGAGGGAAGCUGGACUUUUGCU